Molecule: ribosomal RNA, 392 nt
Filed under: uncultured bacterium
Lineage: Bacteria
Description: partial 16S ribosomal RNA
Rfam family: Bacterial small subunit ribosomal RNA
Source: RNAcentral
AUACGGAGGAUCCGAGCGUUAUCCGGAUUUAUUGGGUUUAAAGGGUGCGCAGGCGGCCAUUUAAGUCAGCGGUUAAAUCGUGGGGCUCAACCCCAUUCUGCCGUUGAUACUGGGUGGCUUGAUUGCGGUCGAGGUUGGCGGAAUUCGUUGUGUAGCGGUGAAAUGCAUAGAUAUGACGAAGAACACCGAUUGCGUAGGCAGCUGACCAGACCGCAAAUGACGCUCAUGCACGAAAGUGCGGGGAUCGGACAGGAUUAGAUACCCUGGUAGUCCGCACAGUAAACGAUGAAUACUUGUUUUCGGCGAUAUAAUGUCGGAGGCAAAGCGAAAGCGAUAAGUAUUCCACCUGGGGAGUACGCCGGCAACGGUGAAACUCAAAGGAAUUGACGGGG